This is an RNA transcript of Elephantulus edwardii (Cape elephant shrew), 3474 nucleotides long. It is a transcript of the gene named retinoblastoma-like 2 (p130), with no coding region annotated. The transcript is spliced from 22 exons. NCBI's taxonomy places the organism in Eukaryota, Metazoa, Chordata, Mammalia, Macroscelidea, Macroscelididae. The record is from RefSeq and is a predicted model, not a curated record.
AUGGCUCCGGGCCCUGGUCCUCAUCUCACUUGAAGACCGGCUGCCCAGGGGGCGCGCAAUGCCGUCAGGAAACAACCAGUCGCCACCUCCGCCUCCCCUGCCUGCGGCCUCGGAGGAGGAGGAUGACGAUGGCGAGGCGGAGGACUGCGUCCCGGCCGCCCGAUCGCCGGCCCUUCAGACGCAGCAGCGGUUCCAGGAAUUGUGCAGCCGCCUCAACAUGGACGAGGCGGCGCGGGCCGAGGCCUGGGAGAGCUACCGGAGCAUGAGCGAGAGCUACACGCUGGAGGGAAAUGAUCUUCAUUGGUUAGCAUGUGCCUUAUAUGUGGCUUGCAGAAAAUGUAUUCCAACUGUAAGCAAAGGAACAGUCGAAGGAAACUAUGUAUCUUUAACUCGAAUUCUGCGAUGUUCCGAGCAGAGCUUAAUUGAGUUUUUUAACAAAAUGAAGAAGUGGGAAGACAUGGCAAAUCUACCCUCACAUUUCCGAGAACGGACUGAGAGACUGGAAAGAAACUUCACUGUCUCUGCAGUCAUUUUUAAGAAAUAUGAACCCAUUUUUCAGGACAUUUUUAAAUAUCCUCAGGAAGAGCAACCUCGUCAACAAAGAGGAAGAAAACAGAGGCGACAGCCUUGUACUGUGUCAGAAGUUUUCCAGUUUUGUUGGAUGCUUUUUAUAUAUGCAAAAGGUAAUUUCCCCAUGAUUAGUGAUGAUUUGGUCAAUUCUUACCAUCUCCUUCUGUGCGCCUUGGACCUAGUUUAUGGAAAUGCCCUUCAGUGUUCUAAUCGUAAGGAACUUGUAAACCCUAAUUUUAAAGGCUUCUCUGAAGACUUUUCUGGUAAGGAUUCCAAACCUUCCUCAGAUCCACCUUGUGUCAUUGAGAAGCUGUGUUCUUUACAUGACGGCCUUGUUUUGGAAGCAAAGGGGAUAAAGGAACAUUUCUGGAAACCCUAUAUUAGGAAACUUUAUGAAAGAAAGCUCCUUAAGGGGAGAGAAGAAAAUCUUACUGGGUUUCUGGAACCUGGGAACUUUGGAGAAAGCUUUAAAGCCAUCAAUAAAGCCUAUGAAGAGUAUGUUUUAUCUGUUGGAAAUUUAGAUGAACGGAUAUUUCUUGGUGAUGAUGCUGAGGAGGAAAUUGGGACUCUCUCAAGGUGUCUGAACGCUGGCUCCGGAACGGAGAGUGCUGAGAGGGUCCAGGUGAAGAACAUCUUACAGCAGCACUUUGACAAGUCUAAAACACUUAGGAUCUCCACACCACUUACUGGGAUAAGAUACGUCAAGGAGAACAGCCCUUGUGUGACUUCAGUUUCCACAGCUACGCAUAGCUUGAGUCGUCUUCACACCAUGCUAGCAGGUCUCAGAAAUGCACCAAGUGAGAAACUGGAACAGAUUCUAAGGUCAUGUUCCAGAGAUCCAACUCAGGCUAUUGCUAAUAGAUUAAAAGAAAUGUAUGAAAUAUAUUGUCAGCAUUCCCAGCCAGAUGAAGAGACCAGUAAUUGUGCAAAAGAAAUUGCCAGCAAAUACUUUCGUUUUGCAGAGAUACUUUACUAUAAAGUAUUAGAAACAGUUAUUGAGCAGGAACAGAAAAGACUGGGAGACAUGGAUUUAUCUGGCAUUCUGGAACAGGAUGCAUUCCAUAAAUCGCUUGUGGCCUGCUGCCUUGAGGUCAUCACUUUUUCUUACAAGCCUCCAGGGAAUUUUCCAUUUAUCGCUGAAAUAUUUGAUGUGCCACUUUACCAUUUUUAUAAGGUCAUAGAAGUUUUCAUUAGAGCAGAAGAUGGCCUUUGUAGAGAGGUAGUAAAGCAUCUUAAUCAAAUUGAAGAACAGAUUUUAGACCAUUUGGCAUGGAAAUCAGAGUCCCCACUGUGGGACAGAAUUAGAGACAAUGAAAAUAGAGUUCCUACAUGUGAAGAGGUUAUGCCACCUCAGAACCUGGAAAGAGCAGAAGAUGUUUGUCUUGGUAACUCCCCUCUGACUCCCAGAAGGGUGAGUGAAAUCCGUGCUGAUUCUGGAGGGAUUGGAAGAAACAUAACAUCCCCAGCCACCUUAUAUGACAGGUAUAAUUCCCCAACAGCCAGCACUACCAGAAGGAGGCUAUUUGUUGACAGUGAUAACCCCUCUGAGGGAGGGACCCCUGGCCGGAUUCCCCCACAGCCUGUGGUCAACGCUGUCCCAGUGCAGAAUGUGUCUGGGGAGGCUGUUUCUGUCACACCAGUUCCUGGACAGACAUUGGUCACCAUGGCCACAGCCACUGUCACAGCCAACAACGGACAAACAGUGACCAUUCCUGUACAAGGUAUUGCCAAUGAAAAUGGAGGGAUAACAUUCUUCCCCGUCCAAGUGAAUGUUGGAGGGCAGGCCCAAGCCGUGACUGGUUCACUUCAGCCCCUCAGCGCUCAGGCCCUGACUGGAAGUCUGAGCUCUCAACAGGUGACAGGAUCAGCUUUGCAGGUUCCAGGUCAGAUGGCCAUUCAACAGAUUUCCCCAGGUGGCCCUCAGCAGAAACCAGGACGACCUUUAAGCGGCAGCAGUGUUAGACCCAGGAAGACCAGUUCUUUAUCACUUUUCUUUAGAAAGGUAUACCACUUAGCCGCCGUCCGCCUGCGGGAUCUUUGCACUAAGCUAGAUAUUUCAGAUGAACUGAGGAAAAAAAUCUGGACCUGCUUUGAAUUCUCCAUAGUUCAGUGUCCUGAACUUAUGAUGGACAGACAUCUGGACCAGCUGUUAAUGUGUGCCAUUUAUGUGAUGGCAAAGGUCACAAAAGAAGACCAGUCUUUCCAGAAUAUUAUGCGAUGUUAUAGGACUCAGCCACAGGCCCGGAGCCAGGUAUACAGAAGUGUUCUGAUAAAAGGAAAGAGACGACGAUAUUCAGGGAGCAGUGAUAGCAGAAGCCAUCAAAAUUCUCCGACAGAAUUAAACAAAGAGAGAAACAGCAGAGACUCCAGUCCUGUCAUGAGGUCAAACAGCACCCUGCCAGUCCCACAGCCUAGCAGUGCCCCUCCCACCCCCACGCGGCUCCCAGGCACCAACAGUGACGUGGAAGAGGAAGAGAGAGGAGACCUCAUUCAGUUUUAUAACAACAUCUACAUAAAACAAAUGAGAACAUUUGCUAUUAAAUACUCACAGGCAAACACAGUAAGUCUAUGGAUGCUCCCCCACUUUCACCUUAUCCAUUUAUAAGAACAAGUUCUCCCCGCCGAGUCCAGCUGUCUCCAAACCAUUCUAUCUACAUUUCUCCAAUCAAAAGUGAAACAAUGCUUACUCCUCAAGAAAAGCUCUUCUAUUGCUUCAGCAACAGUCCUUCAAAGAGACUGAGAGAAAUUAACAGUAUGAUACGGACAGGUGAAACUCCCACCAAAAAGAGAGGGUUUCUUUUGGAAGAUGGAAGUGAAUCACCUGCAAAAAGAAUUUGCCCAGAAAAUCACUCUGCUUUAUUACGUCGUCUCCAAGAUGUAGCUAAUGACCGAGGUUCCCACUGA